UCUCCUACGGGAGGCAGCAGUGGGGAAUAUUGCACAAUGGGCGCAAGCCUGAUGCAGCCAUGCCGCGUGUAUGAAGAAGGCCUUCGGGUUGUAAAGUACUUUCAGUCGUGAGGAAGGUGGUGUUGUUAAUAGCAGCAUCAUUUGACGUUAGCGACAGAAGAAGCACCGGCUAACUCCGUGCCAGCAGCCGCGGUAAUACGGAGGGUGCGAGCGUUAAUCGGAAUUACUGGGCGUAAAGCGCAUGCAGGUGGUUCGUUAAGUCAGAUGUGAAAGCCCGGGGCUCAACCUCGGAACUGCAUUUGAAACUGGCGGACUAGAGUACUGUAGAGGGGGGUAGAAUUUCAGGUGUAGCGGUGAAAUGCGUAGAGAUCUGAAGGAAUACCAGUGGCGAAGGCGGCCCCCUGGACAGAUACUGACACUCAGAUGCGAAAGCGUGGGGAGCAAACAGGAUUAGAUACCCUGGUAGUCCACGCCGUAAACGAUGUCUACUUGGAGGUUGUGGCCUUGAGCCGUGGCUUUCGGAGCUAACGCGUAAAGUAGACC
RNAcentral lists this ribosomal RNA (543 nucleotides) under uncultured bacterium. RNAcentral describes it as "bacterial SSU rRNA". It matches the Rfam family "Bacterial small subunit ribosomal RNA", at positions 335 to 870 of the family's 1533-position model. The record is from RNAcentral.